Molecule: ribosomal RNA, 347 nt
Filed under: uncultured Streptococcus sp.
Lineage: Bacteria; Bacillati; Bacillota; Bacilli; Lactobacillales; Streptococcaceae
Description: bacterial SSU rRNA
Rfam family: Bacterial small subunit ribosomal RNA
Source: RNAcentral
ACAGGUGGUGCAUGGUUGUCGUCAGCUCGUGUCGUGAGAUGUUGGGUUAAGUCCCGCAACGAGCGCAACCCUCGACCUUAGUUGCCAGCAUUCAGUUGGGCACUCUAGCGAGACUGCCGGUAAUAAACCGGAGGAAGGUGGGGAUGACGUCAAAUCAUCAUGCCCCUUAUGACCUGGGCUACACACGUGCUACAAUGGUUGGUACAACGAGUUGCGAGUCGGUGACGGCGAGCUAAUCUCUUAAAGCCAAUCUCAGUUCGGAUUGUAGGCUGCAACUCGCCUACAUGAAGUCGGAAUCGCUAGUAAUCGCGGAUCAGCACGCCGCGGUGAAUGCGUUCCCGGGCCUU